ACAGAUAUUGUCUCUAUUUCCUCAAUUCCAUUGAUUUCCUUUCAUCUCUUUCCCCAGUGCACAUGAAAUGUAGAAAAAUCUGCCAUAGUGGGUCACUCAUUCUAGAGAUGCUCAUCUUUUGCUCUUUGAUGUGGUUGGUGAUUCUUCACAAAAUGAAAGUGAACUAGAAAAUCUACAUGGGGGAUGAAGAAAGAACAUAAAAUCAUGUUUAUCAGUAAAGAACAGAGAAAGCACACAUGUUCUCUACGUAUUUUUUAUUUUAUUUUUUAGUACCAGGAAUCAAACUCAGGACCUUGUGCUUGCAAGGCAGGUGGUGGAACCACUGAGCUAAAUCACUGGCCCUUAUGUAUCAUUUAUUUACUUUUAGCUUAUAACGAAUGUUGUGGAAAAGUAACACAUCAGGCA
RNAcentral lists this long non-coding RNA (405 nucleotides) under Fukomys damarensis (Damara mole-rat). Its description in RNAcentral is "lncRNA (ENSFDAG00000025939.1)". The record is from RNAcentral. Lineage: Eukaryota; Metazoa; Chordata; Mammalia; Rodentia; Bathyergidae.